RNAcentral lists this ribosomal RNA (815 nucleotides) under Lobariella rugulosa. Its description in RNAcentral is "eukaryotic LSU rRNA". It matches the Rfam family "Eukaryotic large subunit ribosomal RNA", at positions 133 to 962 of the family's 3401-position model. The record is from RNAcentral. Lineage: Eukaryota; Fungi; Ascomycota; Lecanoromycetes; Peltigerales; Lobariaceae.
GGGGUCCGAGUUGUAAUUUGUAGAGGGUGUUUCGGGCGAGCCACCGGUCUAAGUUUCUUGGAACAGAACGUCACGGAGGGUGAGAAUCCCGUCUGCGACCGGCCCGGCGAGCCCAUGUGUGACCCCUUCGACGAGUCGAGUUGUUUGGGAAUGCAGCUCAAAAUGGGUGGUAAAUUCCAUCUAAAGCUAAAUAUUGGCCAGAGACCGAUAGCGGACAAGUAGAGUGAUCGAAAGAUGAAAAGCACUUUGGAAAGAGAGUCAAACAGUACGUGAAAUUGUUGAAAGGGAAGCGCUUGCGACCAGACCGGUCCGGGGGCGAUCAGCCGCGGCUCGUCCGCGGUGCACGCGCCCUCGAUCCGGCCAGCAUCGGUUCGGGCGGCGGGACAAAAGGCGCGGGAAUGUAGCUCCUCUCGGGGAGUCUUAUAGCCCGCGCCGCAAUGCCGCCCGCCCGGACCGAGGACCGCGCUUCGGCUAGGAUGCUGGCGUAAUGGUCGCAAGCGACCCGUCUUGAAACACGGACCAAGGAGUCUAACAUCUAUGCGAGUGUUUGGGUGGCAAGCCCGGGCGCGGAAUGAAAGUGAACGGAGGUGGGAGCCCCCUCGGGGGCGCACCAUCGACCGAUCCUGAUGUCUUCGGAUGGAUUUGAGUAUGAGCAUAGCUGUUGGGACCCGAAAGAUGGUGAACUAUGCCCGGAUAGGGUGAAGCCAGAGGAAACUCUGGUGGAGGCUCGCAGCGGUUCUGACGUGCAAAUCGAUCGUCAAAUCUAGGCAUAGGGGCGAAAGACCAAUCGAACCAUCUAGUAGCUGGUUCCUGUC